UCCAAAAAAUUAAGGAGAACUAUGUACUCAGCUGUCAUACGCAAAAGUACACACCCACCCCAAUAUGAAAAUAACCUUAACAUAACAGAACUAUUCGAACUCACGAUCGCUAAGACACAAACUGGGAUUAGAUACCCCACUAUGCUUAGCCCUAAACCCAGAUAUUUAACACACAAAAAUAUCCGCCAGAGAACUACGAGCAUAACGCUUAAAACUCUAAGGACUUGGCGGUGCCUUAAACCCCCCUAGAGGAGCCUGUUCUAUAAUCGAUAAUCCACGAUCCACCUCACCAUCUCUUGCCAGUACCGCCUAUAUACCGCCGUCACUAGCCUACCCUAUGAAGGAUAUAAAAGUAAGCAAAACAGCCAACAAUAGCUAAUAAGUCAGGUCAAGGUGUAGCUAACUGAGAUGGAAGAAAUGGGCUACAUUUUCUAAACUAGAAAUUAUCUCACGGAAAGAACCAUGAAACAAGUUCUACAAGCAGGAUUUAGCAGUAAACAAGGAUUAGAAUACCCAAUUUAAGCCGGUCCUAAGGCACGCACACACCGCCCGUCACCCUCCUCAAAUCAACAUCACCUAUAAAUAAAACCACAACAAAUAAACAGAUGAGGCAAGUCGUAACAAGGUAAGUAUACCGGAAGGUGUACUUGGAACAUU
Molecule: ribosomal RNA, 657 nt
Filed under: Chelonoidis duncanensis (Duncan Island giant tortoise)
Lineage: Eukaryota; Metazoa; Chordata; Testudines; Testudinidae
Description: 12S ribosomal RNA
Rfam family: Bacterial small subunit ribosomal RNA
Source: RNAcentral